This 775-nucleotide ribosomal RNA is filed under the name uncultured bacterium. Its description in RNAcentral is "bacterial SSU rRNA". It matches the Rfam family "Bacterial small subunit ribosomal RNA", at positions 75 to 839 of the family's 1533-position model. The record is from RNAcentral.
CUUGCACCGAGCGGAUGAGUUGCGAACGGGUGAGUAACGCGUAGGUAACCUGCCUCUUAGCGGGGGAUAACUAUUGGAAACGAUAGCUAAUACCGCAUAAAAGUCGACAUUGCAUGAUGUUGACUUGAAAGGUGCAAUUGCAUCACUAAGAGAUGGACCUGCGUUGUAUUAGCUAGUUGGUGAGGUAACGGCUCACCAAGGCGACGAUACAUAGCCGACCUGAGAGGGUGAUCGGCCACACUGGGACUGAGACACGGCCCAGACUCCUACGGGAGGCAGCAGUAGGGAAUCUUCGGCAAUGGGGGCAACCCUGACCGAGCAACGCCGCGUGAGUGAAGAAGGUUUUCGGAUCGUAAAGCUCUGUUGUAAGAGAAGAACGAGUGUGAGAGUGGAAAGUUCACACUGUGACGGUAACUUACCAGAAAGGGACGGCUAACUAUGUGCCAGCAGCCGCGGUAAUACGUAGGUCCCGAGCGUUAUCCGGAUUUAUUGGGCGUAAAGCGAGCGCAGGCGGUUAGAUAAGUCUGAAGUUAAAGGCUGUGGCUUAACCAUAGUACGCUUUGGAAACUGUUUAACUUGAGUGCAGAAGGGGAGAGUGGAAUUCCAUGUGUAGCGGUGAAAUGCGUAGAUAUAUGGAGGAACACCGGUGGCGAAAGCGGCUCUCUGGUCUGUAACUGACGCUGAGGCUCGAAAGCGUGNGGAGCAAACAGGAUUAGAUACCCUGGUAGUCCACGCCGUAAACGAUGAGNGCUAGGUGUUGGGUCCUUUCCGGGAU